This 468-nucleotide ribosomal RNA is filed under the name uncultured bacterium. RNAcentral describes it as "partial 16S ribosomal RNA". It matches the Rfam family "Bacterial small subunit ribosomal RNA", at positions 28 to 507 of the family's 1533-position model. The record is from RNAcentral.
GACGAACGCUGGCGGCGUGCUUAACACAUGCAAGUCGAACGGCAAGGCCCUGCUUUUGUGGGGUGCUCGAGUGGCGAACGGGUGAGUAACACGUGAGUAACCUGCCCUUGACUUUGGGAUAACUUCAGGAAACUGGGGCUACUACCGGAUAGGAGCUCCUGCUGCAUGGUGGGGGUUGGAACGUUUCGGCGGUUGGGGAUGGACUCGCGGCUUAUCAGCUUGUUGGUGGGGUAGUGGCUUACCAAGGCUUUGACGGGUCGCCGGCCUGAGAGGGUGACCGGCCACAUUGGGACUGAGAUACGGCCCAGACGCCUACGGGAGGCAGCAGUGGGGAAUAUUGCACAAUGGGCGGAAGCCUGAUGCAGCAACGCCGCGUGCGGGAUGACGUCCUUCGGGUUGUAAACCGCUUUCGCCUGUGACGAAGCGUGAGUGACGGUAAUGGGUAAAGAAGCACCGGCUAACUACGUG